Molecule: long non-coding RNA, 2996 nt
Organism: Prinia subflava (tawny-flanked prinia)
Lineage: Eukaryota; Metazoa; Chordata; Aves; Passeriformes; Cisticolidae
Exons: 3
Source: RefSeq, a predicted model, not a curated record
CGCAGUAUGGGGAACUAUUCUGGUUCCAUUUAACCAUCUCAGGAAAAACUCACAGACUAAUGCUGCUGCACUUGGCAGCAAGAUUCCCAACUUCACUUUCUUCAGCCCUAAACCUGCUUGGUUCAUUAAUGUUUUGCCUUCUGUUUUAUUCAGCCUGUGUCCCUUUCUGCUAAUGUGGAAAGAAGAUCCCUGGAACACCGUCUUUCCUUGACAAUAUAAUUUCUUUCUCUUGGUGACACAUGCAGUAAUGAAUCUCUGACAGUUCCUCACUCGGGAAAAUCUGACUACCCUACUGAGGGUCCCACUCACAAAAAUCACUCCUCAGUCUUUCCAAAACUGUAUUCUUCUUCCACAAGGCAAGUGCCAAACAGGAAUGCCAUAAAAAAGCCAGCCCUACACAUGGAAUGAUGCACAGACAAGGAGCCCUCCUGAUUUAUCCAUGGUGGGCUCUACUUUCUCCCUUGUUUUAUCUUCAAAAGCUCUUGCCCACUAACUCACUCUCUCUCUGACACACUUGUUGCUGGUUUUAAGAGAGUGAGGCACACAUCACAUUAAACCUCUCCAAACCUUUAUCCCUGCUAAUUAAACAAGAAACCCCAGCGCUGCUUGGAUACACAUUAGCCCCUGUGACACAAAUGGCAGAGUUGCAGGGUGCACACUGUGAAGCAGACACUCAGUGCUUGGCCUGCCACCACCACAAAGCAGCUCGAAGGUCACUUUUCCUUUUCACUGGACUCAGACUCCAAUUCCAAUUCUCCAGCAUCCAGGUUUGUUGCAUUCAUUCUCCUCGAAGUGAGAGCUCUGCAACCUGCCCUGUGCACGCCUCUAAGAGCUACGGCUCUCUCAAAAUCUGCCUGCCCUAGCUUCUCUGAACUUUGGCUCACUAGGAGAACCAAAUCACAGAGAAGUUAUUUAGGACACCAGAGCUCACAGCACACAUUUAGACUGACAUACAUUCCUGCCCAGGAAGCUGGUGGAGAUCUACCUCACAAGAUACUGAUAUUUGCCUCAGAAUUCCAGGCAGAAAAAGAAGUGCUGGUACCAAUUCCAUCCAGUGCGUAUCCAGACCCAGAUACAAUCACCUCCAGGCUUGACUUGAGAAGAGCUAACUUGUUCUGUUGGCUUUUGUGUUAGACCACGGGCUAAGGCAGAUUAAAAAAAAAAGAAAAAAUCUCACACAACAAAAUCAAUCUAACACUUAGAUUCAACAGAAUGAGUAACAAAGAAAAAAAAUUUACAGGAGAACAAGGCUGGUUGCCUGUGGGGAGAAUAUCUUAAAAUCUACGGUAAAGUCAUAGUUGGCAAAAUUCAAUAGAUCUGGUAAACAUCAAAGAUAAAAUUCAGCAGAAUAAGUCUACCAAGCACCAUUAAAAGAAAAAUGGGACCAGCAGGGUUACCAGUGAAAAACAAUGCCAGGCCUAAUAGCACUGAUCUACCAGAAGCAAUUUAUUAUGACACCAGAAAUAGCUAUUUUCACAGUGGAUGCUUGAAAUGAAAACUUUAAAGCUUCUUUAAGUCUUGAGCUAUAGCAAAGUAUUCAACCAGCCAGCCAAAAUAGCUGAAGGGAAAUAGGAAGGCCACAUGUGGAACUAAUUACUCAUGUAGAGGCUAUGACAAAGAACAUUUCUCCAGACUUUUCAUGGGGGCUUCACUUUCAGGAAGUAACUCUAAUUACUGUUCAAGUCUCGGCAGCCUGCAUGCCGCUGACAGUUCCAAGAAAAAAUGAACCUAUUUGCCCUUUUCUUGGUCUGAAAUGCCAAAAUAGAAAAGCACAACUAGAUUCAUUAAAAAGAAAGAAAAUAAGCUCUGGCUUAUUACAUUAGAUACCCGAGCAGAAUUCUUUUUAUAAAUUCGGUUUUUCAGCCUUCACAAAAGAGCAAAUUCUGCGUCUACAUUAACUCACUCUCUGUUGGCUGCAGUGAAACUGUACAUCUUGACUUUUUACAGCUUUUCCAUACUGGGGCCCACUUCCUGCCCAGUUGAAGAAAAAAAUCUGGCCUGAAGAUGAAAUGACUGCUUAACAUUACACUAAAACAUCUGGUACCAUUUUAUACACAGACCCAUGUCUGAGAGCAGGCAAUUCUAGCGGUCUCACCAGCGGCACAGUGCAUACCCAAACCUCCCCAGGGUGACAUCAUCCCAUAUAUGGACUCUCAGGCCCAGCCCUCCCCCUUUUCCUGGUCCUAAAUUCAUUGCCAGAUCCCCAGUCUGCUGCAAAUGUGCCACGUCAAGACUGGAAAUCACAGCACUUCAGUGUGUUUCAGUUUUGCACACUAGGGAAUAAGAAACGCUAAGGGACACUGUGAAAAAGGAGGACUGCAGAAUAAAGCGGGGAAGACAUUCUGCUGCCAAUGUUUUAAAGUGUAAUUCUGUGAUGUGUGCUCCCCACCAAACGCCCCCAAAGCGGACUGGCACAAGGUGUCGCACGGCAGCGGCGAUGGCUCCAAGGGACUGGCUGGACGGAGUUGUCAUGUGUCUGCCUGUCUACACUUGCUGUGCAGAACAUCCUCUCACCUGUACAGCAGGCACAGACAGGCAGUCGCAUGACAACCCAGCCUGAGGGACAGCCGCCAGUGGGACCCGCUCUGGCAGCCCAGGGCACCUGCAGCACCAGCUCCAGCCAAGAGUCGCUCUGGACCUCACACGGCCGCUCAGUCACCAAGCCCAGAGUCAAAGCAGCACUGCCUGUGACCUACAAUAAAACCCACUGCUGAAAUUCGUACUGUGCUUCCUAUAGUACUCUUUUCCUAGUCGUUCUCAUCAACUCACUAACAGUAAGUCUGAUUUAUCUACAGCCCUCCGUAUGUGCUGUCCUCCCAUUUGCUUCCCAGGCAUCACUCCAUUCUUGCUGUAUAAAACUUCCUGACAUUCCUGCUCGCCACUGAAGCCAAGAGCAGCUUAUUGUGGGGCAAGUUCAUUCUGUAAAUACACACAAUGUCAGACUUUAGGGUAACUUCUCCCCUUUCCACUCUCUCACCUCCUCACUUAUUUUUGUA